This is a non-coding RNA of Pelobates cultripes (western spadefoot toad), 1435 nucleotides long. The record is from the annotation of a GenBank genome assembly. NCBI's taxonomy places the organism in Eukaryota, Metazoa, Chordata, Amphibia, Anura, Pelobatidae.
GUGAAGUAGAACUGGUUUAAUGAGCACAAAGGCAUUUCUUAUAUACAGUUUUCCCCACAAGGUUACCACCCACGUGGACCUUGUGGAGCACAGGACACAGUCACAAAAGCCAAUCAAAACCGUAUUGUAUAAUUAGACACUCCCAGAUACUGUACACAAAACCUCCCCUCUGCCUGUGAUACAAUUAAACACAUUGGACUAACUCAAUUACCACAGGCAUAAAAUAUAAAUUUUUACCCAAAGUCCAGAAACACCCCAAAACACAAACAUAUCCCCAUAAAUCCCUGAUCUGGGUGAACAACAUAUCCAAAAAAAAAAAUCACUCAGAUCAGAGCAGGGGUUCCAAAGUUUUCUGGGAGUCACAUUUGACCUACCACAAGCAUAGCUUUCAUGCCCAAAACAGUUCCACAGAUUUAUGCUGUGCGGCCUGGCUAUCUUCUCCUCUAUCCUGGAGAUAACUGGCUUAAGUGGCUGUAGUAACUUAACUCCAGGUACAGGAAAUAUCUCUAAGUCAGAAACUGUUACAAAAACCACAUAAAAUGCAUACUUAUAAUACAAUGUUUAACCUAUAUGUCCAACAUAUCCCUUGGAUCUAAGCGAUCAAUAUGUCCAAUGUUAAAAGUGUCCUAUAGUACAAGGAAGGGUGGGUUCAGAAAACAGCCAAGGACUAAUUAAAGUAUUUAGAAAAUUGGGCAGACUAGAUGGACCUAAUGGUUCCAUCUGCUGUCACAUUCUAUUUUCUAUAUCUAUGAAAAGAUGUUGCAGUGGAGUUUGCCAAGAGCCUGAAACAUCCCCAUGUUCUCCCUUAAAAACACAAUCUACACUCCUCCAAGUCCAACCUCUCAUGGCUUACUACCCAUUUUAGUCCCCUGAUGGAUAACUAUAAGCAAGAUGUGGGCUAUAAAAUCUCAAAGGUGUGUCAUUUCUGUAAACGUUAACCUUUUUCCAUGUUUUUUUUAAUCCCUUCCUCUACUCAUCUCAGUUGUGUACUUUAAAGAGUUGUGAUCUCAGACAGGUUUGUGAGGAAUGGAAGGAAAACCUUAAUUGUAGAAUAUUUUAAACAUACUGAGAUUGGUGGCUAAAAUCUACCAUAUUUUUCUUCCAAUAUUUUCAAGCUGCAAAACUCAAACCAAAUAUUGGCCCUAUACCAGAACCAAUGGGUAGGUAUAAAACUUAGGAACUUUUGGCAGCCUAAACAUUCUGUCCUUUUGACUUUUCCCACAUCGCCCUGUACACCUACAUGUCUUUACAGGAUGAAGGCUCAUGUUCAGGGUCAUUACCCUUUCCUCUCCCUUAACAGUAUUGUUUAUUUAAUCACUAUAACUAGCAAGACGUUCAAAUCUUGUUAAGAUAGUAUGGAUCAUUACCAGACAUUAUGUGGCAGUAUACGUUUAUGCUGGAUUUGCCCAAGAAUAAAGAAAUUAUGGGAGAAAGU